Molecule: ribosomal RNA, 451 nt
Filed under: uncultured bacterium
Lineage: Bacteria
Description: partial 16S ribosomal RNA
Rfam family: Bacterial small subunit ribosomal RNA
Source: RNAcentral
GUGGGGAAUAUUGGACAAUGGGCGCAAGCCUGAUCCAGCCAUGCCGCGUGUGUGAAGAAGGUCUUCGGAUUGUAAAGCACUUUAAGCGAGGAGGAGGCUACCGAGAUUAAUACUCUUGGAUAGUGGACGUUACUCGCAGAAUAAGCACCGGCUAACUCUGUGCCAGCAGCCGCGGUAAUACAGAGGGUGCAAGCGUUAAUCGGAUUUACUGGGCGUAAAGCGCGCGUAGGUGGCCAAUUAAGUCAAAUGUGAAAUCCCCGAGCUUAACUUGGGAAUUGCAUUCGAUACUGGUUGGCUAGAGUAUGGGAGAGGAUGGUAGAAUUCCAGGUGUAGCGGUGAAAUGCGUAGAGAUCUGGAGGAAUACCGAUGGCGAAGGCAGCCAUCUGGCCUAAUACUGACACUGAGGUGCGAAAGCAUGGGGAGCAAACAGGAUUAGAAACCCUGGUAGUCC